GCGGUCUUCGAUGGCGUGGUCGCUGGGGCAAUUGGGCGGCGUCUCCCUAGGUCUUGGGCGGUGUUGUUGCUGGUGAUCGCGGCGGCUCUCCAGUGCAUGGGUUGGUAUGUGACUGCAUCUCCGCUGUUUGGAUUGAAGUUUGGUUGGGUGUGAGUGCACGGGAUGAGGUGAGCAACCCCAAAUCUAGCGAUUUCCGUUCUAAAAUUCCAAUUAUAUCCCACUUACGUUUCCCUUCGUCAUUCUCUUUCCAAAUUGUUUUUUGUGCAUUUGAGCGUUCCGAUCUGCUCGCUCCGGUGCCCCGCGAGGUCCCAAUUUGACUACAAGCCGGUGGAUGGUUCUCCCGAUGGUGGAAUUGAAGGGGCCCCAAUGGAUAAGGACGUGACAGGCAAGCUGGAGGCCACCACUACCAGCGUCCUCAAGCUCUACCACUAAUCAUUUAUCUAGCACACAUCACCACCUGGGUUAUGUGGGUAUGUCCUAAAAAUAUGUAGUCAACCUUGCCAGCUCUAAUAAUUUUUAUUUGCUUCAAUCCCCAAUCUGGUUCGUAGCAGACAUACAGUUAGUAGAAUCUUGCCUCCUGGUUGUAGAAUUUUUGGUUGAUUCGUUGGCUGCUUCAUAUUGUUAAACCAUGAAAUAAUUCCUGAUCCUUCGUGGACUGAAUUAUUGGAUUCUUUUCCCCCUUCCUGUCGUGCAUACAUCACCAUUUGUUUCUGAAACCAAGUCAGAUUUGCCGGAUUUCUAAUUUUCAGAGAUUGCAGAUAGUUAUUUCAAGUUUAAAAAUUGGUUGUAAUUUUGGUUCAUCAGUUGUACCAUAUGCAAAUACACAUCUAUGAUUCAUGAAAGUUUUUGUUCUGUCAAUCAGGGUCAUACUCCCUGCAACUAGUAGCUGCUCUAAACAUUGUUGUAAUGUUACUACUUAAUACUUAAUAAUGAUUGUGGAGGUGCUGCUAACAUUUCCUACUGCAACAACAACAGAGGUAAAAAAUUAUGUGUGGGCUUCAAUGAUGUAAUUGAUUUCUAUUUACAAUGCGUUAGUGUUUCCUAUCAUCUAGCUUCGGAUUUAAAGUAAAUAUAUAUACUUCCUGUUGGAGUUGAAGUAAGUAUCUCACGUUUGAGCUGCUUGUGUGCCAUUUUUUUUUACCUCGGCCCUUAUUUUAAUCUCAGCUGCAGUUAGUGGCAACAAGCACCCACGACGCCCCUAUUUUAUUUACCUGGGCCACUAGUAUAAUUUCAGCUCUAUUUGGUCUUUGGAAAUGGUAUAUCUGGAAAUAAAGAACUAUGCGUGUCAUUCUAUCAUUCUGCAAAUUAGUCAAUUUUGUAGUUUCUUUCUUUUCCUCAGUGAUAUGCCAAUAUGUUUCAGCUCAGCGCAUGGAGUAAUUAGAUGGUCCUUCUCCUGUGAUUUACUAGAUUGUCAGCAAUGAUUCAAAGGUCAGUUCCUUUAGACAUAGAUGCGGAAUAAAGCAUCAACCUAUUUAAUAAUGUAUCCAUCCAUCUUGCAACAGGUAGCGUAACAAGCAUAAGUAGAUACCGACCCAGACAAAGAAACCCACUAAAGAGAUGGCAGUAGUCUUGGUGAGCGCUCUGAAUCUACAAAUUCCUUGAUCCAUUUUUUUUUGUUGAGAAAACGCAAAAGACUUUUACGUUUCAUUGCAUUGAAAAGAAGAAGUUUGGUACAACCCUCCUAGGAGGCGAGUUUACAAGAUGAGUACAGGCACACUAGUGGGCAUCCCAAGUCUGAGGCAGGAUGGCGCGGAGUCCUAAAGCACCCGCUCUGCCCAUCGGUUACUUCCCUGAUCGCUAGGAUUUUGAUCCAUUUUUACAUUAUGCAAGCAUAAUAGAAGAGAUAAAAUGUAGACACUUUUAGGCACAUACCCCAAAUAUGCCUGACAUUAGAUCCAGAUCAGUAAAUUAACAGUAUGCCAACUACACAUAGCAUUUCAGACGAAAAAAAUGUAGACACAAAAUGGGAGCAUAGUAGCCAGACACUUUGAACUUCAAAUAUUAUAAAAUCCUAUAUAAAAAGGUAAAUUUCUGACUGAUGCUUGCGCAAUUUCUGUUAUCUUCUAGUUUAAUUCUCUGUAUGUAUAUGCUAGUAUGUAUAAGUAAAAAUAUGCAUGUGUUUGUUUUCCUCAGGGAAGAGCAUUCCUCUAUUUAUUUUAUCAUCUAAUUUAAUUCUCUUUAUGUAUACAUGUUAUAAGUAAAAAAUCUGCAUGCGUGCUUUUCUCUAGCAAAGAGCAUUGUUCUAUUUUUCUCGGACCAUCAUGUCUCAUUCACUGGGUUGUUGGUAAGAAUAUAUCCAUGUUUUAAUGUUUUUCUGACUACAGUCUAUUGUUGUAAAAUCUGUCAUUAAGCUUCAGCAGUUCACUCUUGCAAGAUUCUUUCAAGUGCGGUCGCCUGAGAUUACCCCAUUGGCUUUGACUAAGACUUCCAAUUAAUUGUUAGGUUGCUUAUCCUGAAGUUCAUGAUCCUGCAUGCGAGCAAAGGAUGUGAUAAGCGCAGUUUUGUCUCUGUAGUUUUGUCUCUAUAGUUUUGUAGACUUCAUUCAUCAUGACGAUUUUAUGGAGUCUGAACAAUGUGUAGCUGCAAUGGAGGUUCCAGGAAGACUUCAAGAUGCUAGGCAUCAACCAUUUUGAGGUCGUUUUAGCAAGACAUGAUGUUUCAGUGCAUAUAGUGCAGUGUAACAUAUCAAGUCAGUUUGUUUCUGUAAUUAUACGGCCUUGUCCAUAUGUUUUACCCCAACCAUCAGUAUUUUGCAUGAUGCCCUAGGUAAUUUGUGUUCAGAAAAUUUACAUUGUGUAUCUG
RNAcentral lists this long non-coding RNA (2802 nucleotides) under Triticum aestivum (bread wheat). RNAcentral describes it as "long non-coding RNA (TAES_LNC028141)". Lineage: Eukaryota; Viridiplantae; Streptophyta; Magnoliopsida; Poales; Poaceae. The record is from RNAcentral.